GUAUUAGAGUUUAUGACCAGGGGUACAGGUUUGGUCUGGUGGUGGAAUUAGUCAUAGUAUUAGAGUUUAUUACCAGGGCCCCAGGUUUGGUCUGGUUGUGAUAGUAGUAGAGUUAGAGUUUAUAGCCAUGGCCCCAGGUCGAGGGGUGUGUUGACAGUAGUAGAAGAAGUAUUAGAGUUUUUGACCAGGGGUACAGGUUUGGUCUGGUGGUGGAAUUAGUCAUAGUAUUAGAGUUUAUUACCAGGGCCCCAGGUUUGGUCUGGUGGUGGAAUUAGUCAUAGUAUUAGAGUUUAUCACCAGGGCCCCAGGUUUGGUCUGGUGGUGAUAGCAGUAGUAUUAGGGUUUAUAACCAUGCUCUCCAGUUUUGGUCUGGUAGUGAAUGUAGUACCAGUAUUAGAAUUUAUAGCCAGGGCCUGAGGUUUGUUUUUUUGUAGUGAUAGUAGUAGUAGUAAAUUUAGAGUUUAUGACCAGGGCCCCAGGUUUGGUCUGGUGGUGAAAGUAGAGGUAGUAUUAGGGUUUAUAACCAGGGCACCAGUAUUGGUUAGGGGUUGAUUGUAGUACUAGUAUUAGAGUCUAUAACAGAUGCCUCAGGUUUGGUACGGUGGUGAUAGUAAUAAUAGCAUUAGAGUUUAUAUCCAGUCUCCCCAGGUUUGGUCUGGUGGUGAUAGUUGUAGUAGUAUUAGAGUUUAUAACCAGGGCCCCAGAUUUUGUCUGGUGAUGAUAGUAGUAGUAUUAGAGUUCAUAGCCAGGGCCCCAGAUUUUGUCUGGUGGUGAUAGUAGUAGUAUUAGAGUUUAUAACCAGGGCCCCAGGUUUGGUCUGGUGGUGAUUGUAGUAGAGUUAGAGUUUAUUACCAGGGCCCCAGCUUUGGUGUGGUGGUGAUAGUAGUAGAGUUAGAGUUUAUUACCAGGGCCCCAGGUUUGGUCUGGUUGUGAUAGUAGUAGAGUUGGAGUUUAUAACCAGGGCCCCAGGUUUGGUCUGGUGGUGAUAGUAGUAGAGUUAGAGUGUAUUACCAGGGCCCCAGGUUUCGUCUGGUUGUGAUAGUAGUAGAGUUAGAGUUUAUAGCCAUGGCCCCAGGUCGAGGGGUGUGUUGACAGUAGUAGAAUAAGUAUUAGAGUUUAUGACCAGGGGUACAGGUUUGGUCUGGUGGUGGAAUUAGUCAUAGUAUUAGAGUUUAUUACCAGGGCCCCAGGUUUGGUCUGGUUGUGAUAGUAGUAGAGUUAGAGUUUAUAGCCAUGGCUCCAGGUCGAGGGGUGUGUUGACAGUAGUAGAAGAAGUAUUAGAGUUUAUGACCAGGGGUACAGGUUUGGUCUGGUGGUGGAAUUAGUCAUAGUAUUAGAGUUUAUUACCAGGGCCCCAGGUUUGGUCUGGUGGUGAUAGUAGUAGAGUUAGAGUGUAUUACCAGGGCCCCAGGUUUGGUCUGGUUGUGAUAGUAGUAGAGUUAGAGUUUAUAGCCAUGGCCCCAGGUUGAGUGUGGUGUUGACAGUAGUAGAAUAAGUAUUAGAGUUUAUGACCAGGGGUACAGGUUUGGUCUGGUGGUGGAAUUAGUCAUAGUAUUAGAGUUUAUUACCAGGGCCCCAGGUUUGGUCUGGUGGUGGAAUUAGUCAUAGUAUUAGAGUUUAUUACCAGGGCCCCAGGUUUGGUCUGGUGGUGAUUGUAGUAGAGUUAGAGUUUAUUACCAGGGCCCCAGCUUUGGUGUGGUGGUGAUAGUAGUAGAGUUAGAGUUUAUUACCAGGGCCCCAGGUUUGGUCUGGUUGUGAUAGUAGUAGAGUUGGAGUUUAUAACCAAGGCCCCAGGUUUGGUCUGGUGGUGAUAGUAGUAGAGUUAGAGUGUAUAACCAGGGCCCCAGGUUUCGUCUGGUUGUGAUAGUAGUAGAGUUAGAGUUUAUAGCCAUGGCCCCAGGUUGAGUGUGGUGUUGACAGUAGUAGAAUAAGUAUUAGAGUUUAUGACCAGGGGUACAGGUUUGGUCUGGUGGUGGAAUUAGUCAUAGUAUUAGAGUUUAUUACCAGGGCCCCAGGUUUGGUC
Long non-coding RNA from Oncorhynchus mykiss (rainbow trout), 2023 nucleotides. The record is from Ensembl. NCBI's taxonomy places the organism in Eukaryota, Metazoa, Chordata, Actinopteri, Salmoniformes, Salmonidae.